UACGUAGGGUGCGAGCGUUGUCCGGAAUUAUUGGGCGUAAAGAGCUCGUAGGCGGUGUGUCACGUCGGCCGUGAAAACCUGCAGCUUAACUGUGGGCGUGCGGUCGAUACGGGCAUCACUGGAGUUCGGCAGGGGAGACUGGAAUUCCUGGUGUAGCGGUGAAAUGCGCAGAUAUCAGGAGGAACACCCGUAGCGAAGGCGGCACUCUGGGCCGAUACUGACACUGAGGAGCGAAAGCGUGGGGAGCGAACAGG
This 254-nucleotide ribosomal RNA is filed under the name uncultured bacterium. RNAcentral's name for it is "partial 16S ribosomal RNA". It matches the Rfam family "Bacterial small subunit ribosomal RNA", at positions 524 to 776 of the family's 1533-position model. The record is from RNAcentral.